AGGCGGUAUGGCCAAGUGGUAAGGCAAAGGAUUGCAAAUCCUUCACCCCCCAGUUCGAAUCUGGGUGCCGCCUU
RNAcentral lists this transfer RNA (74 nucleotides) under Porphyridium purpureum. Its description in RNAcentral is "tRNA-Cys". It matches the Rfam family "tRNA". From Rfam's summary of the family: Transfer RNA (tRNA) molecules are approximately 80 nucleotides in length. The record is from RNAcentral. Lineage: Eukaryota; Rhodophyta; Bangiophyceae; Porphyridiales; Porphyridiaceae.